CUCUCUCUCUCUCUCUCUCACUCUUUUUAAGUAAUGUAUGACAAGUUGGAAGAGGAUACAUCUUGCUUGUUAAAGCGUAGAUCCAGUAAAAUGCUUGUGAGUGAUGUCUUGAAAAGAAAAGACAAAGAAAAAGUUUAAAAAAUGGAGUACUUUUUCUCUUCUUGAUUUAUUGGCAUAGCCAAAAACUUCCUAAUAUGUUUUGAUCAUGGGAUCCUGUAUAAGUGCCAGCCAUCUUUCAUAGCAUAUUAUUAACUUUAAUAUAUUAGGCUUUAUUCAGUUGAAUAACAUUUUGUGAUAUGUAAGAUCUCUUGUCAAAAGUCAAAUAGAUGUGUGUCAACCUAUCUAGUAUCUUAUAUCUACAGUGUUCAAACAAUUUUAUUUACCUAUUAAUUCUCUCUUUUUCUGUCACCUUUUUUUUUCCCCAUCAACUCAUGCGCUAAACCAACUAUAAGGGGAGAAAGGCUCUUUAUAGCUAACCUCAGCUAGGUUGGAAUUGGGCCUGACUUGAGUUUUGUUGACACUUGUAUAUUCAAAUCUUUGCAGAUUUUCAAUGAUAAACUGCCAA
This 565-nucleotide unclassified non-coding RNA is filed under the name Hevea brasiliensis (rubber tree). Lineage: Eukaryota; Viridiplantae; Streptophyta; Magnoliopsida; Malpighiales; Euphorbiaceae. The record is from RNAcentral.